RNAcentral lists this small RNA (125 nucleotides) under Marmota monax (woodchuck). Lineage: Eukaryota; Metazoa; Chordata; Mammalia; Rodentia; Sciuridae. The record is from RNAcentral.
GCCAGGUGUGGUGGCACAUGCCUGUAAUCCCAGCGGUCUGGGAGGCCGAGACAGGAGGAUCUUGAGUUCAAAGCCAGCCUCAGUAUCAGUUAAGUGCUAAGCAACUCAGUGAGACCCUGUCUUUA